CCUACGGGGGGCAGCAGUGAGGAAUAUUGGUCAAUGGACGGGAGUCUGAACCAGCCAAGCCGCGUGAGGGAAGACGGCACUGUGUAUUGUAAACUUCUUUUGUAAGGGAAUAAAGUCCGGUACGUGUCCCUGUCUGAGUGUACCUUACGAAUAAGGAUCGGCUAACUCCGUGCCAGCAGCCGCGGUAAUACGGAGGAUUCGAGCGUUAUCCGGAUUUAUUGGGUUUAAAGGGUGCGUAGGCGGACGGUUAAGUCAGGGGUGAAAGCCCGAGGCUCAACCGCAGAAUUGCCGUUGAUACUGGGGGGCUGGAGAGGAGCAGAGGUAGGCGGAAUGCGCGGUGUAGCGGUGAAAUGCUUAGAUAUCACACAGAACCCCGAUUGCGAAGGCAGCUUACCGG
This 397-nucleotide ribosomal RNA is filed under the name uncultured bacterium. Its description in RNAcentral is "partial 16S ribosomal RNA". It matches the Rfam family "Bacterial small subunit ribosomal RNA", at positions 338 to 732 of the family's 1533-position model. The record is from RNAcentral.